This 368-nucleotide long non-coding RNA is filed under the name Mytilus galloprovincialis (Mediterranean mussel). The record is from RNAcentral. Lineage: Eukaryota; Metazoa; Mollusca; Bivalvia; Mytilida; Mytilidae.
UUUUGAAAAAAAGUCGCUCUGAAACCAAGUGGAUCAUGCACUACCAAGAUCACCAAAUUCAGUGUACUGCACACUUUAAAGACAAAAAGAGCAGCUGGAGUGGCUUACCAACUCACUAACAUUUUUUGUUUGUUUACCUUUGGGAGCUCCACAUAUUCUGCAAAGUGAUAAUUGAGGUGAAUGUACGUCUAAUGUAAUUACAGGACUUUAACUUCUUUGGCCAGAGCUAAAAUUGGUGCAUGGUAGACCACGUUACCCUCAAAGUCAGGGGUCCGUAAAAAGAGCAAACGCUGAGGUUAACGUCAGGAAAGAUGUACAAUUGCUUUCUUUAAGUGGUGGCCAAGGUCAUGUUCACUGCAGCUGUCUGU